Molecule: long non-coding RNA, 312 nt
Filed under: Lathyrus oleraceus (garden pea)
Lineage: Eukaryota; Viridiplantae; Streptophyta; Magnoliopsida; Fabales; Fabaceae
Description: Pisum sativum (pea) long non-coding RNA (PSAT_LNC021581)
Source: RNAcentral
UUCGAGCCGAGGUUGAAUUCGAAUCAGUGCACUAUCAGAAUGUGAUCCGGUAAAUCGUUGGGGUUCAUUAUAAGAGAGGAAUCGAGGUUGAUCCUGCUAAAAAAAAAAGGAAAAAAAAUAUAAUAAAAAAAAAACAGAAUGCCUGAACCGAGAAAAAGAAAAGAAAGGUUUGUGGUUUCUUAAGAAGGAUUGAACUACCUGUCAUGGUUCACAUUUCAUCUAACAGCCACGGGUGAACCUAUAUUCAGGUUGUUGAAAAAAAAAUCAAACGGUCAGGUGGAUAAUGAUUGCCAAGGGGCAUUGAAAGAAAAG